Non-coding RNA from Rattus norvegicus (Norway rat), 12862 nucleotides. The record is from RefSeq and is a predicted model, not a curated record. NCBI's taxonomy places the organism in Eukaryota, Metazoa, Chordata, Mammalia, Rodentia, Muridae.
UCACUGGGGGUUCAGUCUUAGCAGGACCCAGGGCUUCCCCUUCCACUGGUGCUCUUACUAAGAUAUUCAUUGCUACCUAUGUGGUCAGAGUCCAGGGUCAGUCCAUGUAUAGUCUUUAGGUAGUGGCUUAGUCCCUGGAAGCUCUGGUUGCUUGGCAUUGUUGUACAUAUGGGGUCUCGAGCCCCUUCAAGCUCUUACAGUUCUUUCUCUAAUUCCUUCAACAGGGGUUCUAUUCUCAGUUCAGUGGUUUGCUGCUGGCAUUCGCCUCUGUAUUUGCUGUAUUCUGGCUGUGUCUCUCAGGAGCGAUCUACAUCUGGCUCCUGUCGGUCUGCACUUCUUUGCUUCAUCCAACUUGUCUAAUUGGGUGGCUGUAUAUGCAUGGGCCACAUGUGGGGCAGGCUCUGAAUGGGUGUUCCUUCUGUGUCUGUUUUAAUCUUUGCCUCUCUAUUCCCUGCCAAGGGUAUUCUUGUUCCCCUUUUAAAGAAGGAGUGAAGCAUUCACAUUUUGAUCAUCCGUCUUGAGUUUCAUUUGUUCUAGGCAUAUAGGGUAAUUCAAGCAUUUGGGCUAAUAGCCACUUAUCAAUGAGUGCAUACCAUGUGUGUUUUUCUAUGAUUGGGUAAUCUCACUCAGGAUGAUAUUUUCCAGUUCCGACCAUUUGCCUAUGAAUUUCAUAAAGUUAUUGUUUUUGAUAGCUGAGUAAUAUUCCAUUGUGUAGAUGUACCACAUUUUUGUAUCCAUUCCUCUGUUGAAGGGCAUCUGGGUUCUUUCCAGCUUCUGGCUAUUAUAAAUAAGGCUGGGAUGAACAUAGUGGAGCACGUGUCUUUUUUAUAUGUUGGGGCAUCUUUUGGGUAUAUGCCCAAGAGAGGUAUAGCUGGAUCCACAGGCAGUUCAAUGUCCAAUUUUCUGAGGAAACUCCAGACUGAUUUCCAGAAUGGUAGUACCAGUAUGCCAUGCCACCAACAAUGGAGGAGUGUUCCUUUUUCUCCGCAUCCUUGCCAGCAUUUGCUGUCACCUGAGUUUUUGAUCUUAGCCAUUCUCACUGGUGUGAGGUGAAAUCUCAGGGUUGUUUUGAUUUGCAUUUCCCUUAUGACUAAAGAUGUUGAACAUUUCUUUAGGUGUUUCUCAGCCAUUCGGCAUUCCUUAGCUGUGAAUUCUUUGUUUAGCUCUGAACCCCAUUUUUUAAUAGGGUUACUUGUCUCCCUGCAGUCUAACUUCUUGAGUUCUUUGUAUAUUUUGGAUAUAAGCCCUUUAUCUGUUGUAGGAUUGGUAAAGAUCUUUUCCCAAUCUGUUGGUUGCCGUUUUGUCCUAACCACAGUGUCCUUUGCCUUACAGAAGCUUUGCAGUUUUAUGAGAUCCCAUUUGUCGAUUCUUGAUCUUAGAGCAUACGCCAUUGGUGUUUUGUUCAGGAAAUUUUUUCCAGUGCCCAUGUGUUCGAGAUGCUUCCCUAGUUUUUCUUCUAUUAGUUUGAGUGUGUCUGGUUUGAUGUGGAGGUCCUUGAUCCACUUGGACUUAAGCUUUGUACAGGGUGAUAAGCAUGGAUCGAUCUUCAUUCUUCUACAUGUUGACCUCCAGUUGAACCAGCACCAUUUGCUGAAAAUGCUAUCUUUUUUCCAUUGGAUGGUUUUGGCUCCUUUGUCAAAAAUCAAGUGACCAUAGGUGUGUGGGUUCAUUUCUGGGUCUUCAAUUCUAUUCCAUUUGUCUAUCUGUCUGUCUCUGUACCAAUACCAUGCAGUUUUUAUCACUAUUGCUCUAUAAUACUGCUUGAGUUCAGGGAUAGUGAUUCCACCCUGAAGUCCUUUUAUUGUUGAGGAUAGUUUUAGCUAUCCUGGGUUUUUUGUUAUUCCAGAUGAAUUUGCAAAUUGUUCUUUCUAACUCUUUGAAGAAUUGGAUUGGUAUUUUGAUGGGGAUUGCAUUGAAUCUGUAGAUCGCUUUUGGUAAAAUGGCCAUUUUUACUAUAUUGAUCCUGCCAAUCCAUGAGCAUGGGAGAUCUUUCCAUCUUCUAAGGUCUUCUUCAAUUUCUUUCUUCAGUGUCUUGAAGUUCUUAUUGUACAGAUCUUUUACUUGCUUGGUUAAAGUCACACCGAGGUACUUUAUAUUAAUUGGGUCUAUUAUGAAGGGUGUCGUUUCCCUAAUUUCUUUCUCGGCUUGUUUCUCUUUUGUGUAGAGGAAGGCUAAUGAUUUAUUUGAGUUAAUUUUAUACCCAGCCACUUUGCUGAAGUUGUUUAUCAGCUUUAGUAGUUCUCUGGUGGAACUUUUGGGAUCACUUAAAUAUAUUAUCAUAUCAUCUGCAAAUAGUGAUGUUUUGACUUCUUCUCCGAUCUGUAUCCCCUUGACCUCCUUUUGUUGUCUGAUUGCUCUGGCUAGAACUUCAAGAACUAUAUUGAAUAAGUACGGAGAGAGUGGGCAGCCUUGUCUAGUCCCUGAUUUUAGUGGGAUUGCUUCAAGUUUCUCUCCAUUUAGUUUAAUGUUAGCAACUGGUUUGCUGCAUAUGGCUUUUACUAUGUUUCGGUAUGGGCCUUGAAUUCCUAUUCUUUCCAGGACUUUUAUCAUGAAGGGGUGUUGAAUUUUUUCAAAUGCUUUCUCAGCAUCUAAUGAAAUGAUCAUGUGGUUUUGUUCUUUCAGUUUGUUUAUAUAAUGGAUAACGUUAAUGGUUUUCCGUAUAUUAAAACAUCCCUGCAUGCCUGGGAUGAAGACUACUUGAUCAUGGUGGAUUAUUGUUUUGAUGUGCUCUUGGAUUCAGUUUGCCAGAAUUUUAUGGAGUAUUUUAUGUUGAUAUUCAUAAGGGAAAAUGGUCUGAAGUUCUCUUUCUUUGUUGGGUCUUUGUGUGGUUUAGGUAUAAGAGUAAUUGUGGCUUCAUAGAAGGAAUUCGGUAGUGCUCCAUCUGUUUCAAUUUUGUGGAAUAGUUUGGAUAAUAUUGGUAUGAGGUCUUCUAUGAAGGUAUGAUAGAAUUCUGCACUAAACCCGUCUGGACCUAGGCUCUUUUUGGUUGGGAGACCUUUAUUGACUGCUUCUAUUUCCUUAGGAGUUAUGGGGUUGUUUAACUGGUUUAUCUGUUCCUGAUUUAACUUCGGUACCUGGUAUCUGUCUAGGAAAUUGUCCAUUUCCUGCAGAUUUUCAAGUUUUGUUGAAUACAGGCUUUUAUAGUAAGAUCUGAUGAUUUUUUUAAUUUCCUCUGAAUCUGUAGUUUUGUCUCCCUUUUCAUGUCUGAUUUUGUUAAUUUGGACACACUCUCUGUGUCCUCUCGUUAGUCUGGCUAAGGGUUUAUCUAUCUUGUUGAUUUUCUCAAAGUACCAACUUUUGGUUCUGUUGAUUCUUUCUAUGGUCCUUUUUGUUUCUACUUGGUUAAUUUCAGCUCUGAGUUUGAUUAUUUCCUGCCUUCUACUCCUCCUGGGUGUAUUUGCUUCUUUUUGUUCUAGAGCUUUUAGGUGUGCUGUCAAGCUGCUGACAUAUGCUCUUUCCUGUUUCUUUCUGCAGGCACUCAGUGCUAUGAAUAUUCCUCUUAGCACAGCUUUCAUUGUGUCCCAUAAUUUUGGGUAUGUUGUACCUUCAUUUUCAUUAAAUUCUAAAAAGUCUUUAAUUUCUUUCUUUAUUUCUUCCUUGACCAGGUUAUCAUUGAGUAUAGCAUUGUUCAAUUUCCAAGUAUAUGUGGGUAUUCUUCCCUUAUUGUUAUUGAAGAACAGUUUUAGGCCAUGGUGGUCCGAUAGCACGCAUGGGAUUAUUUCUAUCUUUCUGUACCUGUUGAGGCCCGUUUUUGACCAAUUAUAUGGUCAAUUUUGGAGAAAGUACCAUGAGGAGCUGAGAAGAAGGUAUAUCCUUUUGCUUUAGGAUAGAAUGUUCUAUAAAUAUCUGUUAAGUCCAUUUGGCUCAUGACUUCUCUUAGUCUGUCAACGUCUCUGUUUAAUUUCUGUUUCCAUGAUCUGUCCAUUGAUGAGAGUGGGGUGUUGAAAUCUCCUACUAUUCUUGUAUGAGGGGCAAUGUGUGUUUUGAGCUUUAGUAAGGUUUCUUUUACGUAUGUAGGUGCCCUUGUAUUUGGGGCAUAGAUAUUUAGGAUUGAGAGUUCAUCUUGGUGGAUUUUUCCUUUGAUGAAUAUGAAGUGUCCUUCCUUGUCUUUUUUGAUGACUUUUAGUUGAAAAUUGAUUUUAUCUGAUAUUAGAAUGGCAACUCCAGCUUGCUUCUUCCGACCAUUUGCUUGGAAAGUUGUUUUCCAGCCUUUCACUCUGAGGUAGUGUCUGAUUUUGUCUCUGAGGUGUGUUUCCUGUAGGCAGCAGAAUGCAGAGUCCUCGAUGCUUAUCCAGUUUGUUAAUCUAUGUCUUUUUAUUGGGGAGUUGAGGCCAUUGAUGUUGAGAGAUAUUAAGGAAUAGUGAUUAUUGCUUCCUGUCGUAUUCAUAUUUGGAUGUGAGUUUAUGAUUGUGUGCUUUUCUUCUCUUUGUUUUGUUGCCAAGACGAUUAGUUUCUUGCUUCUUCUAGGGUAUAGCUUGCCUCCUUAUGUUGGGCUUUACCAUUUAUUAUCCUUUGUAGUGCUGGAUUUGUAGAAAGAUAUUGUGUAAAUUUGGUUUUGUCAUGGAAUAUCUUGUUUUCUCCAUCUAUGUUAAUUGAGAGUUUUUCAGGAUACAGUAACCUGGGCUGGCAUUUGUGUUCUCUUAGGGUCUGUAUGACAUCAGUCCAGGAUCUUCUGGCCUUCAUAGUUUCUGGCGAGAAGUCUGGUGUGAUUCUGAUAGAUCUGCCUUUAUAUGUUACUUGACCUUUUUCCCUUACUGCUUUUAAUAUUCUUUCUUUAUUUUGUGCGUUUGGUGUUUUGACUAUUAUGUGACGGUAGGUGUUUCUUUUCUGGUCCAAUCUAUUUGGAGUUCUGUAGGCUUCUUGUAUGUCUAUGGGUAUCUCUUUUUUUUAGGUUAGGGAAGUUUUCUUCUAUGAUUUUGUUGAAGAUAUUUACUGGUCCUUUGAGCUGGGAGUCUUCACUCUCUUCUAUACCUGUUAUCCUUAGGUUUGAUCUUCUCAUUGAGUCCUGGAUUUCCUGUAUGUUUUGGACCAGUAGCUUUUUCCGCUUUACAUUAUCUUUGACAGUUGAGUCAAUGAUUUCUAUGGAAUCUUCUGCUCCUGAGAUUCUCUCUUCCAUCUCCUGUAUUCUGUUGGUGAAGCUUGUAUCUACAGCUUCUUGUCUCUUCUUUUGGUUUUCUAUAUCCAGGGUUGUUUUAAUGUGUUCUUUCUUGAUUGCUUCUAUUUCCUUUUUUAAUUCCUUCAACUGUUUGAUUGUGUUUCCUGGAAUUCUUUCAGGGAUUUUGUGACUCCUCUCUAUGGGCUUCUACUUGUUUAUUUAUGAUUUCCUGGAAUUCUUUCUGGGAUUUUUGUGACUCCUCUCUAUGGGCUUCUACUUGUUUAAUUAUGUUUUCCUGAAAUUCUUUCAGGCAUUUUUGUGAUUCCUCUCUGUAGGCUUCUACUUGUUCUCUAAGGGAGUUCUUCAUGUCUUUCUUGAAGUCCUCCAGCAUCAUGAUCAAAUAUGAUUUUGAAACUAGAUCUUGCUUUUCUGGUGUGUUUGGAUAUUCCAUGUUUGUUUUGGUGGGAGAAUUGGGCUCCGAUGGUGCCAUGUAGUCUUGGUUUCUGUUGCUUGGGUUCCUGCACUUGCCUCUCGCCAUCAGAUUAUCUCUAGUCUUACUUUGUUCUGCUAUUUCUGACUGUGGCUAGACUGCCCUAUAAGCCUGUAUGUCAGGAGUGCUGUAGACCUGUUUUCCUGUUUUCUUUCAGCCUGUUAUGGCGACAAAGUGUUCUGCUUUCGGGUGUGUAGUUUUCCCUCUCUACAGGUCUUCAGCUGUUCCUGUAGGCCUGUGUCUUGAGUUCACCAGACAGGUCACUUGCAGCAGAAAAGUUGGUCUUACCUGUGGUCCCGAUGCUCAAGUUUGCUCGCGGGAUGCUGCCCAAGAGCUCUCCAUGGCAGCAGCAACCAGGAAGAUCUGUGCCGCCAUUUCCGGGAGCUUCAGUGCACCAGGGUUCCAGAUGGCAUUUGGUGUUUUCCUCUGGCGUCCGAGAUGUGUAUGCAGAGUGCAGCCUCUUCUGGUUUCCCAGGCGUGUCUGCCUCUCUGAGGGUUUAGCUCUCCCUCCCACAGGAUUUGGGUGCAGAGAACUGUUUAUCCAGUCUGUUUCCUUCAGGUUCCGGUGGUGUCUCAGAGGCAGCGGUCCUGCCGCACCUGGGCCCUCCCCCAUGGGAACCCAGAGUCCUUAUACAGUUUCCUCUUGGGCCAGGGAUGUGGGCAGGGGUGGGCAGUGUUGGUGGUCUCCUCCGCUCUGCAGCCUCAGGAGUGCCCACCUGACCAAGCGGUCGGGUCUCUCUCCCAUGGUGUCUGGGAGCAGAGAGCUGCUGCAGGCCAGGAUCCGCGGGUGUGGGACUCCCGGUAAACACAGGAGGUGCCCGGUCCUAGAGGAAUUCUGCCUCUGUGUGUCCCGAGAUCACCAGACAGGUCUCUUGCAGCAGAAAAGUUGGUCUUACCUGUGGUCCCGAGGCUCAAGUUUGCUCGCGGGGUGCUGCCCAAGAGCUCUCCGCGGAGGCAGCAACCAGGAAGAUCUCAAGUUUUCUUGAAGAUAAACUUUUGUAGUAGGUCUGAUGAUUUUUCGAAUUUUCCCUUCUCUGUUGUUAUAUCUCCCACUUCAUUUCUGAAUUUGUUAAUUUGGACACACUCUCUGUGUCCUCUGGUGAGUCUGACUAAGGGUUUCUCUAUCUUAUUGAUUUUCUCAAAGAACCAGCUCUUGGUUCUGUUGAUUCUUUCUAUGGAUUUUGCUUUCCCUCAAGUGCUAUGCACUGGAGAACAGAGGUGUAAAUUAGGAGAAUAUGCUAUCCUAUUAAAUUAGAAACAUUCUUUCUGUGUCUCUACUGGUCAUCCCUGUUUCUUACUCAGAAGAGCAAACAUCAGAAGAGAAAGUAUACAUUUUGGUGAUUCCCUACAUGUCUUCCAAAGUAUUUCUAGGUUCACAUUCUGGUAGACAAAAUUGGGGCCUUAAAGCUCCAAUCAGCAAAAUUGGAAUGGGAGUCCGGGCAGUGAGCAGAUCCGGGUAUGAGGGAUGAUGGCUAGACGAGUGAUCUUAUGCUUCUCAGUUAAGAUCACACAUCUCACUCUAGUCUGAAUCCUCAUUUACUGAAUCACUGAUGUGACCAGCACUCACAUUUCGGCCCUUGGCUACUUCCACGCAGGGUGUGAGGAUUCUGUACAGGAUCCAGGAAUAUUCUCACAUGUGCUUCAAUCAAAUAUUGAUCUUGGGAAAUAAGGCAAAUGAAAGUAUAGGUUGCAAGGUCAAAUCUUUUUGUAACAAAUUUUAGAAGCCUAGACAAUUUUAGCCUAUUCCAAGAAGAGCUCUUAGCCCUUCAUCCUCCUCAUGUGCCCUUACAACAUUUCACACUCUAUCCCAGACUGCCCAAGACCUGACAACAACUUAUACCCUGUAUCAGGUGUACAUAGUUGGACAGCUCAGCCUGGCAUAGAGAAAUGCUCUGUGCUCCCCACCACCUUCUGUACUCCUACCCCUUUUUAGAUCCUGAUUUCCUUCGUUCUCUCCUUCUAUCCCUGUGGGAAUGACAGGGUGCAUACUCUUCUUCCUCAGGUUCAUCCUUACUUUUUUUUCCACAGAUGCGAGAAGACUGAAACUAGCACUGUUAUUGGACGCUGGAUCUUCAACAGUGACUAUGAUUGAGCUGACACCUACGCUUGAUGACCAGUUCUGUGAUGCAUUUUCCUUUGGUUUGUCCAUCAACUAUAGCAAUAGCAUCUUCCUGCAGUCUUAUUCAAAGAAUUCCAUGUGUGUUUUGUACUGUUCUGAUGUGAGUAGAAUAACAUAAAUAAUAACAAGGCAUGGCGGUGCACACCUUAAAUCCCAGCACUUGACAGGCAUAAGCUGGAAGAUUUUUAUGAUAUUGAAGCUAGAUUAUUCUUCUCAGUGUAAUUUCCUCCUUACGCAAUGCAAGAGAAGAUGUAUUUUAUUCUUUCUAGCACCUCCUUCUGUAGUAGAUUCCCAUUACACCCCCCCAAUAAAUCCUGUCUAACUUUUCCAGUUUUCUUCUUUAUAACACCUGGGUCCUACUAUCCCCCUCUCUAUCUCUUUCUUUUUCUAAGCUCUUCUCUUAAGUUGUGAGGGUUUUCCUCCAGUCAAUAUCCUUUUAGGUGUUCAAUAAGGUGUUUCCAAUACCAACAUAUACUGAUUUUAAUAUCUUUAUUUGGUUUCGUUAUUUAGGUUUGAUAGAGCACUGUGAUGGAAAAUGUCUUAGUGAUGAGACUGUUCAUGUCACCUUAUGUGCUACUGUUCACUGUCAGCUUCUCUCAUGAGUCUUAUGAACCAGAUGUGUAAAUCACCAAGGAUCCCUGAGUUUGAAUCUGCGGCGGUGGAAAUUGGAGACAUUCUUAAUCUCAUCAGUCUAUGAUGUUGGUAUUACAAAGACAAUGAUACCGGAUCCUUUAUGAGUUCUGUUUCAGUUACAGUGUUAUUGCUGUUAAGAGACACCAUGACCAAUAUCCUCGACCUUUUUACUGUGCCUCCUGAUUUACUUCACUAAGGUCCAGGAUACAGUUUGUAUUACAAAAUUGUGCUGAUGCGGGAUUCAAUGAGAGUGUCACUAUGAAAUAUGUGAAAAGAAGUAGGAUCCUGUGUGUGCCGCGUCGUUCCUGCUGGCGAGACGUAGCGCGCGACAUCUGGUGCCGAAACCCGAGAAAGACCUCGCCAUCGUCAGCAGCUUCGGAGAUCCCUUGGCGACAAGGAGGAUUCAGAACUGCAGGUAGAUACGUUCGGAGAGGCAGCCCUCUCUUGGACUUUGGUCUGGGGUUGUCACCGCCUUGGGAAGGAUUUGUUGAGGCUAUAGUAUUUGUCCUGGGAGCCACCCUACUCUUUAUGUUCUGUUUUCACCGUUUUCGCUGUUAAAAGGACGAUCACAGCAGCUGAAGGCGCGUCUCAGUCUCUUGUAUAUAAGUGAGCUUCGCGCAGCUCCCUUUUACCUUCGAUUUUGACUGUUGAGGAACAAGGACGCGAUAAGGCCGACGUAGAUAAGCGGCACCAUCCAGGGAGGUGCGUGUAAGACUCCCGUACAUAAGAGAGCAGCGUGUCCGUCUCUACACUUUCACCUCACGCCUUGUCAGACGGACGUAGAUAAGCCGCCGGCGUUCCUGGCCCAUCAUGGGAUCCUCACAGUCUGUGGUCACGGCCUUGGAAACAGUGUUAAAGCAGAGGAACAUCAAAAUUGGAGGAGGAACACUUAAAAACUUUGUGAAGGAGGUGGAGAGGGUGGCGCCUUGGUUUGCCUGUUCAGGCUCGUUUACGAUUGCCUCAUGGAACAAACUUGGAAAAGACCUUGACAGAAAAUUGGCGGAAGAGGAUCUGCGCCUAGGGACCAAAGCUAUAUGGAAGCUGGUUAAGAAUUGUUUAAAGGAUGAAACGUGUAAGGCAGCAGUAGUAGAAGGACAGGCCACUCUCGAGGUAGUCCGGGAAAGUCUGUCAGAAACCGAACGUAGUGAGAGGUUGGGCGCACGCAAGAAAAAAGACGUCCCAAGAAAGAAAAAGUGCCCUCCCGGUAAGUCCGCGACAAGGGAGCAUUGAAAUUUUCAGAUUCCAGCACUUCCUCCUCUACACAUAAACCAGGAGGGGGAGCCAGCCUAUACCCUGUGAAAGAGCUAUAAGCGCUGAACCUCGACAGUUCUGAAAGCUCUGAAAAUAAAACCUUAGACUCAGAGGAGGAGGCCGAGCUAGUGCUGUUAGUAUUCUUGAAACCGCCGGUAUAAUUAAAACCACUAGUAAGGUGGCAGAUAUUUUCCAAAAAAUCCAAAUUAUCCUAUUCAAUAGAAGAUUCCCUGUAUACAUUACUCAUAUACGGGCCCAUUCUGGACUCCCUGGCCCAAUGAGUUCAGAGAAUGAUUUGGCUGAUAAAGCCACAAAAAUGAUAGCUGUGGCCCUGGCCUCUCCUUUAGAGGCCACUAAAGCCUUUCAUGGCAAUUUCCAUGUCACCUCAGAAACUUUACGCCGCCGCUUCUCUAUAGCUAGAAAAGAGGCACGUGAUAUAGUCACCCAAUGCCAACAGUGCUGCCAGUUCCUCCCAGUUCCUCACAUCGGGGUCAACCCGAGAGGAAUACAGCCAUUGCAAAUCUGGCAAAUGGAUGUUACUCAUAAUUCUACUUUUGGAAAAUUACAGUAUGUGUAUGUAUCUAUAGACACAUGUUCUGGCAUUCUACAUGCCACCCCACUUACAGGAGAAAAAACAACACAUGUCAUUCAGCACUGCCUUGAAGCAUGGAGUGCUUGGGGAAAGCCAAAAUGUGUAAAAACUGACAAUGGCCCCGCCUACACAUCUCAAAAAUUCCAUCAGUUUUGUGCUCAGAUGCAGGUUACCCACCUGACGGGCCUGCCCUACAACCCUCAAGGACAGGGAAUCAUAGAGCGUGCUCAUCGGACGCUCGAAUCAUAUUUAAUAAAACAAAGAAGGGGAAUUAUGAUAGAACUCCCCCCAACACCCCGAGUGGCCACUGCUCUGGCCCUUUUUACCUUAAAUUUUUUAAAUCUUGAUGAAGCUGGACAAACAGCGGCUGAGCGACAUUGCUCAGAGCCCAAGAGGACAAAAGAAGUAGUCAAAUGGAAGGAUGUAUUAACAAAUGAAUGGAAAGGCCCGGAUCCUGUUUUAAUAAGAUCCAGGGGAGCUGUCUGUGUUUUUCCACAGGACAAUGAAAAUCCCAUAUGGAUCCCAGGACGGACUUACUCGGAGCAUCACAGCAAGUGAUCAAGAAGGGACUGGGACUCCUGCACCUCCUCACUCUUCUUACAUGGAUGCCAGCAACGGUGCAGGGCGAGCUACGAUGGGGAAUAAUGUCAACCUUUCCACUCCCGAUGCUGGUGAUGUACCACUAACAGGGAUUUAGGGUUGGCCUAUUUACCUAAGGAUCCUCAGGUUGAACGACUAAAAGAAAAUAGGACUAUUCCCCUUAAGGGCAGCCUUUGUUUUGGCAUAUUCAACAAAACAUCUUUUGAUCUCCCUUGCAUUAGUUAUGUAAUCAAUCUUCUGCUUGGUUAAGGGAGGCCACAUGGGGAACUGGUGAGGAGGACAUUGUGGCUAACGCCACAGUUCUCUAUGGUGGUGGCCUUACAUUGCGUUAAUGGUAGCUGCACUGAUCUUACGCCCAUGGCGAUGCUACUUGAAGGAAAGGGCGAAAAGGGACGGUUGUCAUUUUCCUGGAUGGGGAACAUCAAACCUGCUGCCUCUGUCUGGACAGCUACUCAUAUAAAAUAUCGCAGUAGUUACCCGCAUGCCUCGCUUUAUACCGAUCCCUGUUGAUACCUCGGGGAUCAUGACCUAAUUUAGAGGAAAAAGAGAUUUUGGUACUUCUGCAAUUAUUGCUGGCAUUAUUGCUACAACAGCAGUUGCUGACUCGGUUACUGCCUCGGCAUUGGCCUUGUCAAAUUCAGUACAGACAACCCAAACUAUCAAUGAUUUAUCGGCCACCAUCACUGUGGCUCGGGACAGACAGGCCUCAGCCAAUACUCAGAUAUAGGGAGGCCUUAUGCUUGUCAACCAACGUAUAGAUCUGGUCCGAGAGCAAUUAGACAUUCUAUGGUAACUGGCCCAGCUUGACUGUGAGCAAAAACUCCCAGGCCUUUGUGUCACCUCCAUAUAAUAUGACAAAUUUACCCGAGCUGCUAAUCUGUCUAAGAGUCUUUCACAGCAUCUGUUACAGAAUUGGACCUCGGAGUUUGAACAGACACUUCGGGAGCUGAGAGCAACCAUCAUUCAAGUAAAUUCUACCCGACUGGACCUGUCUUUGACGGAGGGAUUGUCGUCCUGGAUCACCUCAGCAGUCUCUUAUUUCAAGGAAUGGGUGGGAGUGGGACUUUUUGGAGUGAUCCUCUGCUGUGCAUUAGUGUUACUCCUCUGGUUGCUUUGCAAAUUGAGAUCUCAAACAAGAAAGGACAAAGUAGUGAUCGCCCAGGCGCUUGUAGCCCUUGAACAAGGAGCGUCAGCCGAUAUCUGGUUGACCAUGCUCAAGCAACAGGUCGCCGGCUGGACAGCUCUUGCACUCCUAGAACCUCGGUUCAUUGCACAGGAUUAGAGUGUCCGGCUUGAGCAGCCCAUGAGGGGUGACGAGCUUAGCAUCACACAGGGAAGUUCUACCAAAUACGCUCCCUGGAAGGCAUGUCAUAUUACAUGAGGGUUUCUGCCCCAGUUUUCCCUCCCUCGAAAAAUGGCAGUGCGACGGGUCGGGAGUGCCCUGGGUCCCAACAACAGCCUAAGGGUAUCUCUCUUGUACAGGUUCGCCAACUUUGUACGAGGAUAUGACCUCUGUCUUCACCCUCCUAUAUCUGGGUGUCCUGUUUGCUUAAAAAAACAGAAAAGGGGGAGAUGUGAGGAACUGUCCGAGGAGCUGUUCUCACAGAGAUGUGAGGAGCUGUCCAAGGAGCUGUCCUCACAUAUGUGAGGAGGUGUCCUCACAAACUCCAUUACAAGAUGGCACCGGCAUCCGGCAGAACGCACCUAGUAAAAAGGGCAAUACGCAGGCGCCUGGUAACUUCCCUACUCAAAGGGACACGUACGUUUUGGUACGUCAUCUGGCAUAAUUGGCAGCGACCAGUCAGAGAGUGACACGUCCUAGGCGAGGAUAGUUUCCUAUAUAAGGGACGGUUAUUCCUCACUCUCUGUCUCCGCAUUGUAAGCUUAUGCUCUCCCUCUCAAGAUGCAUUAAAGUUUUUCUGCAGUAGGAUCCUGUGUGUGCUGCGUCGUUCCUGCUGGCGAGACGUAGCGCGGAACAGGGUGGGAACCCAUGAAUUAACUUUAAUUUUCUGAGACAGUUUAAAUAUCCAUAUGCUAUAUAGAAUUCAGCAUUUUUUAAGAUCAAUGGCAUAGUAUGCCUAU